Molecule: ribosomal RNA, 448 nt
Filed under: uncultured bacterium
Lineage: Bacteria
Description: partial 16S ribosomal RNA
Rfam family: Bacterial small subunit ribosomal RNA
Source: RNAcentral
AACGAACGCUGGCGGCAGGCUUAACACAUGCAAGACGAACGCAUCCCUCGGGGUGAGUGGCAGACGGGUGAGUAACGCGUGGGAACGUGCCCUUCAGUUCGGGAUAACCCAGGGAAACUUGGGCUAAUACCGGAUACGUGCGAGAGCAGAAAGAUUUAUCGCUGAAGGAUCGGCCCGCGUCUGAUUAGCUAGUUGGUGGGUAAUGGCCCACCAAGGCGACGAUCAGUAGCUGGUCUGAGAGGAUGAUCAGCCACAUUGGGACUGGGACACGGCCCAAACUCCUACGGGAGGCAGCAGUGGGGAAUAUUGGACAAUGGGCGCAAGCCUGAUCCAGCCAUGCCGCGUGAGUGAUGAAGGCCUUAGGGUUGUAAAGCUCUUUCGUCCGGGACGAUAAUGACGGUACCGGAAGAAGAAGCCCCGGCUAACUUCGUGCCAGCCGCCGCCGUAA